This is a long non-coding RNA of Chenopodium quinoa (quinoa), 1704 nucleotides long. RefSeq lists it as uncharacterized. The record is from RefSeq and is a predicted model, not a curated record. Lineage: Eukaryota; Viridiplantae; Streptophyta; Magnoliopsida; Caryophyllales; Amaranthaceae. The transcript has 3 exons.
CCCCACAAAAUUCGAACUAUUAAAACCGCUGAUAGUCGAGAUGAAAUACUCUACAUCGAGGCUAGCAAGGGAUUGUUGCUUGUUGGUGUUGUUGUUGAUGGUUAGCAGGGGAAGCAGUGGAGAUGGUUGACAGUAAUAAGAGGUGCGAAAUUAUCGUUUUAGAUAUGCAGCAGGUGCUUGUGGUUGAUGGUGAGUGCGGUGGUCUGGCCUAGUGUAGUGGGCAAUUUGUUGCAGAUAGCUAUUUUGUUGUUGAGUUGUUUGUGAAUUGCAGGGGAUAAUGUCAAGGUUUCUCUCUCUUAUAUUUAGAUUAACUCUAAUCUUAUUGUUAUUCAGUGAAUUUUCUGGUUUAGUUGUUCUAUAAUUUGAGGUAAUAAUUAAUUUCUUACUUGAUUUCUCUCAUAUUAAAGGUAAUUUAACAUUACAAUUGAAGGUUUAAAAAAAAAUUACAAUUGAAGCGGCAUAAUCUAGUUCUUCAUUACCGAAUAAGAAUUUUAAGAGAAGUAGUCAAAAUAAUGACACAAUGUUAUUCCUUUGUUUUGUGUAUGAUAUUGUUUACCUCAAAUUGAAAUGAUGAUGUUAAUUACUACUUACUGAUAAAGUGAUUAUGAGUUGAUGGCAUUCUGUUUUUGCAUUUCGUAUUUUAAGAGAAUAAUAGCACUGCAAUUUUCAUUUUGUUUUGUGUACGAGAAGACAGGUACAAUGAACAUGUUUAAGCUAGACAUAUAAACUUUGGUAAAACAGGACUAAACUUAUUAGGGCCGUGAUUAAUAGCAAUUGUAGCUUAAAUUGGUCCAUAGUUUUUGUGUAUGUUAUUAAUCAAAUAAUGAAAUAAUCACCCAACCUUCCAGCAGUAUAUUAACUCUGUAGAGUUCUAGCUGAAAUCUAAUCUUUAGUAGUCCUCAUCACCAAGUGUUCGAAUCGAAGGUAUCAUGAUCUUACUCUGGAGUCAAUGAAUGAUGCUAACAUUGUAUAGAAUGCAAAAUUCGAAUAAUAUGUUACUAGAAUUCCCAUUAGUUACUGUAAUAGUUGCAAUUGCAGAAUUUACAGGAAGAAUUAUUGAAGAAGAUUGAUUUUGAUUUAAUAUAUGUAUGAUCCUUAAAUCAUGGAUAUAAAUUUAUCAAAACUGAAUAUAAUGGCCUGUUUUUCUCUUUAAAAUUGUGAAUUAAGUUCUAAUCCGAGAUGUUUUUCUCUUUAAAAUGUGGUGAGAAUGAUAUGAUUAGUAUUCUUAUUUUUCAUGCUUAGGUUUUAUCUUGUUUGAAAUGAGUUGAAUGAGUCUAUUGACUUUGUGGCUAUGAUGCGAGCGUGUAGUGUCAUCAAAAAUUGGGAGGAAGUGAGAUGUGGCUACUAUGUCGUGUACUAUACGUUUGAAACAGUUCAACAUCACCGUAGUAAUGAGGAUCUUGUUAGAUUUUUCAAGAACAAUACCUUAUAAUGGGGAGGGGAUAAAUGAGGUUCGAGAUAUUUAGUCAAAAUAUUUCAUGAUCAACGUUGAAAUUUAGAUUUAAACUUAGCUAAAUCCAUUUGUUUGUUAAACUUUUUUUGUUUUAGUUCUUAGGCUUGAAAUGAAUGUAUUUGGGGUACCAACAUUUUGGGUUGGUCUUUGUUCUUGUGUUGGUUGAUGAUAUCAAUAAUUUUGAGUUGUAAAAUUUUGAGACUUUGCCGAAAUUUACAUUUGCAUUCAAUAAUAUUGCAUUUUAAUUUCAA